UUUAGCUUGAACUUGAUUGUCUGAAUGUAUCCUCUUUCCAUUAGCACUACCACCACUAUCUCCUUUCUUCCUGUCUGCAUUAUCCAAUGAACCUUUCCCAUCCCCUGAAAAGGCCAUAAUUUGACGGAGCUUGGAGGGAAUGGCAUCAAUAGAAGAGGUGUUGGGUGGGGGAGGAAGUCUAGUAGUGCCUCCAUGAGCUGCCCUGUAAUUCUUCUCUCUUCUCUUCUUCCCUUUACCUCCCAUUUUUGCUUCUUCUUCUUCUUAUCUGUGUCGACG
RNAcentral lists this unclassified non-coding RNA (276 nucleotides) under Hevea brasiliensis (rubber tree). Lineage: Eukaryota; Viridiplantae; Streptophyta; Magnoliopsida; Malpighiales; Euphorbiaceae. The record is from RNAcentral.